This 467-nucleotide ribosomal RNA is filed under the name uncultured bacterium. RNAcentral's name for it is "partial 16S ribosomal RNA". It matches the Rfam family "Bacterial small subunit ribosomal RNA", at positions 29 to 507 of the family's 1533-position model. The record is from RNAcentral.
ACGAACGCUGGCGGUGUGCUUAACCCAUGCAAGUCGAACGGUAAGGCCCUUUCGGGGGUACACGAGUGGCGAACGGGUGAGUAACACGUGAGUAACCUGCCCUCAUCUCUGGGAUAACAGUCGGAAACGGUUGCUAAUACUGGAUAUGAGCUUGCAAGGCAUCUUGUGGGUUGGAAAGAUUUUUUUUGGUUGGGGAUGGACUCGCGGCCUAUCAGCUUGUUGGUGAGGUAGUGGCUCACCAAGGCUUCGACGGGUAGCCGGCCUGAGAGGGCGACCGGCCACAUUGGGACUGAGAUACGGCCCAAACUCCUACGGGAGGCAGCAGUGGGGAAUAUUGCACAAUGGACGGAAGUCUGAUGCAGCAACGCCGCGUGCGGGAUGACGGCCUUCGGGUUGUAAACCGCUUUCAAUUGUGACGAAGCUUUUUUGUGACGGUAGCAGUAGAAGAAGCACCGGCUAACUACGUG